Molecule: long non-coding RNA, 184 nt
Organism: Diprion similis
Lineage: Eukaryota; Metazoa; Arthropoda; Insecta; Hymenoptera; Diprionidae
Exons: 2
Source: RefSeq, a predicted model, not a curated record
CCUAUAUGGUGCCGGAAUCGCGGAUUGACUAUGAGUAAAAGUCUUGAAAUCACCUACGCCGUCCGGGUCCGAUUUUUCGAGAGGGUCAUCUUCAGCGGCAUUUUUAUAAUAAUAAAUGUUUUUAAAAUAAAGAAAAAUUUUUUUUUUGUGUGCUUAAUAAACGUAGUAAUAUGCCCGGAAAGUU